ANNNNNNNNNNGGGUGCUUACACAUGCAGUCGAACGAUGAAGCCCAGCUUGCUGGGUGGAUUAGUGGCGAACGGGUGAGUAACACGUGAGCAACCUGCCCCUGACUCUGGGAUAAGCGCUGGAAACGGCGUCUAAUACUGGAUACGAGUAGCGAUCGCAUGGUCAGUUACUGGAAAGAUUUUUUGGUUGGGGAUGGGCUCGCGGCCUAUCAGCUUGUUGGUGAGGUAAUGGCUCACCAAGGCGUCGACGGGUAGCCGGCCUGAGAGGGUGACCGGCCACACUGGGACUGAGACACGGCCCAGACUCCUACGGGAGGCAGCAGUGGGGAAUAUUGCACAAUGGGCGGAAGCCUGAUGCAGCAACGCCGCGUGAGGGAUGACGGCCUUCGGGUUGUAAACCUCUUUUAGCAGGGAAGAAGCGAAAGUGACGGUACCUGCAGAAAAAGCGCCGGCUAACUACGUGCCAGCAGCCGCGGUAAUACGUAGGGCGCAAGCGUUAUCCGGAAUUAUUGGGCGUAAAGAGCUCGUAGGCGGUUUGUCGCGUCUGCUGUGAAAUCCCGAGGCUCAACCUCGGGCCUGCAGUGGGUACGGGCAGACUAGAGUGCGGUAGGGGAGAUUGGAAUUCCUGGUGUAGCGGUGGAAUGCGCAGAUAUCANGAGGAACACCGAUGGCGAANGCAGAUCUCUGGGCCGUAACUGACGCUGAGGAGCGAAAGGGUGGGGAGCAAACACGCUUAUAUACCCUGGUAGUCCACCCCGUACACGUUGGGAACUACUUGUGGGGUCCAUUCCACGGAUUCCGUGACGCAGCUAACGCAUUAAUGUUCCCCGCCUGGGGAGUACGGCCGCANGCUAAACUCAGAGAAAUUGACNAGA
This 874-nucleotide ribosomal RNA is filed under the name Microbacterium sp. MF02_Io. Its description in RNAcentral is "bacterial SSU rRNA". It matches the Rfam family "Bacterial small subunit ribosomal RNA", at positions 31 to 918 of the family's 1533-position model. Lineage: Bacteria; Bacillati; Actinomycetota; Actinomycetes; Micrococcales; Microbacteriaceae. The record is from RNAcentral.